AAGACUAUAGACCUGCGGAGUACCUGCGGAGGGAUCAUUAGAAAGAUCGACCCGAAAUAUGGACGAUCAAAUCCAUAUCCACCUUGUGUGCACCUAUUGACCGUUCGCUUUGGCAGGAGUCGUCUUCGAUCCGGUCCGGAUCGAAGCGCGAAGGGGGGAGGUUCCCUCGUCAGGGGGGAUAUCGUACCUUGGCCUGCCAGAGUUUUUUUUCCCCUUUCAAAGGGAAAAGAUCCACACCUC
Molecule: unclassified non-coding RNA, 240 nt
Filed under: soil metagenome
Description: partial contains 5.8S ribosomal RNA, internal transcribed spacer 2, and large subunit ribosomal RNA
Source: RNAcentral